This 394-nucleotide unclassified non-coding RNA is filed under the name Hevea brasiliensis (rubber tree). Lineage: Eukaryota; Viridiplantae; Streptophyta; Magnoliopsida; Malpighiales; Euphorbiaceae. The record is from RNAcentral.
CUGUCUUCCUAUCACAAUCCUUCCGUCUCAUUCACUCUUGCGCAGCGCAGCCAUGGCGACGGGCACAGCAGCGGCACCAACACGGGCUUUGUCCCAAAAGGAGUUGGAUAUACAGAUGAUGUUGGCUGCUGAAGUUCACCUCGGCACUAAGAACUGUGACUUCCAGAUGGAACGUUAUGUUUUCAAGCGACGCAAUGAUGGAAUUUAUAUCAUCAAUCUUGGAAAGACAUGGGAGAAACUUCAACUGGCUGCUAGGGUCAUUGUGGCCAUUGAGAACCCACAGGACAUUAUAGUCCAGUCUGCAAGGCCUUAUGGUCAAAGAGCUGUCCUCAAGUUUGCCCAAUACACUGGUGCCCAUGCUAUUGCUGGAAGGCAUACUCCCGGUACAUUCACU